RNAcentral lists this unclassified non-coding RNA (336 nucleotides) under soil metagenome. Its description in RNAcentral is "partial contains 5.8S ribosomal RNA, internal transcribed spacer 2, and large subunit ribosomal RNA". The stretch from base 1 to 120 matches the Rfam family "5.8S ribosomal RNA", at positions 35 to 154 of the family's 154-position model. The record is from RNAcentral.
GAUGAAGAACGUAGCGAAAUGCGAUAAGUAGUGUGAAUUGCAGAAUUCAGUGAAUCAUCGAAUCUUUGAACGCACAUUGCGCCCCUUGGUAUUCCAUGGGGCAUGCCUGUUCGAGCGUCAUUUGUACCUUCAAGCUUUGCUUGGUGUUGGGUGUUUGUCUCGCCUUUGCGUGUAGACUCGCCUUAAAAUAAUUGGCAGCCGGCGUAUUGAUUUCGGAGCGCAGUACAUCUCGCGCUUUGCACUCAUAACGACAGCGUCCAAAAGUACAUUUUACACUCUUGUCCUCGGAUCAGGUAGGGAUACCCGCUGAACUUAAGCAUAUCAAUAAGCGGAGGA